RNAcentral lists this ribosomal RNA (253 nucleotides) under uncultured bacterium. RNAcentral describes it as "partial 16S ribosomal RNA". It matches the Rfam family "Bacterial small subunit ribosomal RNA", at positions 524 to 776 of the family's 1533-position model. The record is from RNAcentral.
UACGAAGGGGGCUAGCGUUGUUCGGAAUUACUGGGCGUAAAGCGCACGUAGGCGGUUUUUUAAGUCAGAUGUGAAAGCCCCGGGCUCAACCUGGGAAUUGCAUUUGAAACUGGCCAACUAGAGUAUGUGAGAGGGGGGUAGAAUUCCAAGUGUAGCGGUGAAAUGCGUAGAGAUUUGGAGGAAUACCAGUGGCGAAGGCGGCCCCCUGGCACAAUACUGACGCUCAGGUGCGAAAGCGUGGGGAGCAAACAGG